CCUACGGGAGGCAGCAGGUGGGGAUAUUUCACAAUGGGGGGAACCCUGAUGCAGCGACGCCGCGGGGGUGAAGAAGCGCCUCGGCGCGUAAAGCCCUGUCAGCAGGGAAGAAAAUGACGGUACCUGAAGAAGAAGCCCCGGCUAACUACGUGCCAGCAGCCGCGGUAAUACGUAGGGGGCAAGCGUUAUCCGGAUUUACUGGGUGUAAAGGGGGCGCAGACGGCGAUGCAAGCCAGGAGGGAAAGCCCGGGGCCCAACCCCGGGACUGCUCUUGGAACGGCGUGGCUGGAGGGCAGGAGGGGCAGGCGGAAUUCCUGGUGUAGCGGUGAAAUGCGUAGAUAUCAGGAGGAACACCGGUGGCGAAGGCGGCCUGCUGGACUGCAACUGACGUUGAGGCCCGAAAGCGUGGGGAGCAAACAGGAUUAGAUACCCCAGUAGUC
Molecule: ribosomal RNA, 440 nt
Filed under: uncultured bacterium
Lineage: Bacteria
Description: partial 16S ribosomal RNA
Rfam family: Bacterial small subunit ribosomal RNA
Source: RNAcentral